GCACAAGCAGAAAAACCAGCCAGGGUGCUAUUUCAGCAGUCUAGGUGGAGAGUCAUGGUGACUUGGACCCAUCCAACAGAGACGAAGACAACUAAAUGGAUUCAGGAUAUAUUCUAGAGAUAAUACAGAAAAUCACCUCUAUUUCAUAAUGAGACUACUGAGACAAGUUAUGUGGAAAACUAUUCUGCUUAGCAAACCCCACUUUGAUGCUCUCUCUUCUGUAGAUCUAGAGAUAACGAGUCCUAACUCUUUGCCAAGGAUAUGGCAAAGACUCUGAUGGAAAAGGCAGUAAUGUGUACACAAAGGUGAACAUAAAUAAAUGUGUGUAUGAUAAACGCUGGGAAUGGACAUAGAAAAACGGGUAUGCAAUUGGACAGAGACGACGGGAGACAGAAGGAAAGAUACUUGCUCAGCUGUAUCUAAGUAAGUUCAUAGGAGUUUCAUGGUCUGAAAAAUCUGUGACAGUGGAAUUUCUACUAAGAAGCUUAAAAAAGUUUCACCUUCUCCUUGGACACUUCAGAAUAAGGCCUUCUUAGAAUAUAAUGCAUUAUAUCACAAAUAUACUUUUAUAUAAAAUAUUUGGGACCAAAACAAGAGUAAAGAACCAGGAUCCGAAAGGGUGAAUGCCUACUAAAUAUCUUUGAUUAUCUAAAGCUGUUUAAAAGCUAUUAGAUUGGCACCUGGAACCCCAAAAUAUCCACUUUUCACUGGGAAGGAGUGGCUGUGCCUCUUCAAUCAUCCCCUAAAUGCAAAGAAGUUUGACCCCCACGCAAUGGAUAAAAGUCACCCAAAAAAUGAACAAAAGAGGUGUUUGGAAAAACCAGAACACCAUUCAUCCCAGCUAACGACUUGUUCAUUAUGAGUGAUGAUGGAUAAAGACUUCUCAUGCUGAGAUGAAAUCAAGAUUUAUAUGCAUUGUUUCCUCUCCCAACUUGUGGGAAGAUCAUCAUCAUUUAAUUCUAUCUCUGCGGCCAGUGAUGGGCAUCCAGAGAGCUGGUUAUCAAACGGCGCAGUCAGCUGGCAAAAGCCGAAACGUGCAGUUGGCACAUCUGGACGGAGCCGCCACAGCCGAGGGUGAACAAUGACUCCUGGCAAGCAUCCAAAUUGCUUGCAGACGCUAGCAGGUCUCAUCUACAACCGCCCCUACCAGCAUCUCUCUCUCUCUCUCUUUUUUAUGAGAAUCAGAUUUUCAUUGCUCCAUUCAAUUGCUCUCCUCUGCCAUUUUUUACAGCUCUUAUCGUUCCCCUGGAAUAUGGCCUUGAGACAGCUCAUCCGUGUCCUUCACUGUGUUAUCUCUUCUAACUUUUAUUAAAACUUCAGCUUUCAUCUGAAGAUAGCUAAUUAAAUCUGGAACAGAUUAUAUGCCUCCCCUUAAAAAGAGCACAAAACUAUUUUCUUCAACCCCAGCAAUGCUUUUUUUCCUUUCCAAAAGGUAAAAUCAAAGGUGUUUAAGAAGUCUCUUUAUUUACAGAGCUAAGAUAUUCAACACGUCAUAUAUGAGUUGAUUUAUAUUAAAGUUGUCUGUGAUAUGACAAAUCUUUGAGCUAUUUCUCAAGAUGAUUAUUUCUCAAUCCUGGUAUAUAUCCUUUAAAUAUCACAGCUAAUACUAUAAGCAUAUUUUCUAUAUAAAGUUGGGUAAUGAGGAGUUAAGUUAUUAGUGCACAUCAAGUGAUUUGUCUUUUUAUUCGUCUUUUUUUUUUAAAGGUUGCCCUCAUUUGAUAAGGAUGAAGAGAAAUUUUUCUUUUCUUCCCCAUACCACAAAUAUUAGUAACUAAAAGUUCUCCCAUGGGAAAUUAUGUGAAAACAUGAAAUUAAUAGCAGUGAUUCAAGUUUAGGACUGAUUCGGUUUUCAAGACAGCUUUAUAUCAACUGAUCAUCAGCACAAGUAGCUCUGUCUGAGUCUACCACAAAUUAUUAAUGAAGGAACUUCCACAAUUGAUAUGAAUACAUUCUUCUCACAUAUGCCGCUGACCCAGUCCCUUUCUGAGGCCGAGGGGCAGUGUACAAUCACCUUUUCUUGCAUAGAUCAGCUAACCAAACCUUCUAGCAAUGACAUCUGAAAGAAUCUAGCCAGCCAUCACACACACACACCCCCUAUGCCCUUUUAAUAAGGGUUAAGCUUCUACUACUGUGAGAAUAUGAUUUAACUAUC
RNAcentral lists this long non-coding RNA (2152 nucleotides) under Homo sapiens (human). Its description in RNAcentral is "HSALNT0354870". The record is from RNAcentral. Lineage: Eukaryota; Metazoa; Chordata; Mammalia; Primates; Hominidae.